CCGGCCAUCGUCAAUGGCGACGUUUCAGUACGUCGAGAUACAUUUAGUACUGCGAUUGUAAAGAACGUGGUCGGUGGAAACGCAAUCCGUUAGUAAAAAACAUUCUGAAAUGCGGUAGACGAAAGUAUUAUAUUUAGCCAAGAAACGAGAUCCUGGCUCGACUCGCUGACGACUUGAUGUGCAAUGUCCAUAGUUCGAUUGUUACAACUGUAAUAUAAACAGCUACUUCAGGAAAAGUUCAAGGAAAUUUUCGCAAUUAAAUAGAGUAAGCCCUAGUUACAAAACAAAUAAGUUCGGAACAGGUAUAUCAGCGGAUAUGAAAGGGUGACGUCACAGGCUGUCGAAGAUAAGUUGUUUAGAAUGCUUGUACUUUGUAAGAUAUUAUAUAAAAGUAUUAAGCUAUAUAACUGUAUAACAAAAUUUAAUGGGUUGCUUGCUUUUGAAUUUUGGUGAUUUUAAAGUAAGGAAAUGUUGAGUUAGGACAACUUUGAUGAAUAUUAAUAAACAAUAAGUGAUGGAAACUCAAAGAUUUGAAAAGU
Molecule: long non-coding RNA, 539 nt
Organism: Bactrocera oleae (olive fruit fly)
Lineage: Eukaryota; Metazoa; Arthropoda; Insecta; Diptera; Tephritidae
Source: RefSeq, a predicted model, not a curated record